Salvelinus namaycush (lake trout) is the source of this 384-nucleotide long non-coding RNA. RefSeq lists it as uncharacterized. The transcript is spliced from 3 exons. The record is from RefSeq and is a predicted model, not a curated record. Lineage: Eukaryota; Metazoa; Chordata; Actinopteri; Salmoniformes; Salmonidae.
UAUUGCUUUCUGAUGAAUAGGAGUAGAAAUGUGAACUUUCUACACAAUAUUCAUAUGAAGUAUUUAUGACAUGUUGUCUGUCAACGACUGUCAUGACUCCUGCUCUAUAGGUUUACUUAUAGUUUCCUCUCUAAGUGUUACAGUCAAUGUGAUGUGUUUCCCCAGACGGUGAUGACCCCACAGUCAGAUCAGGAGGUCCAGGUAGAGCUGUAUGAUGAAGACAUGGACAAGGAUGACUUUCUGGGCAGGUGUAACAUCAGUAUGAGAGACAUCAUACACUCCCAGUAUACAGACCAGUGGUACACUCUGAAUGAUGUGAAGUCAGGUCGUGUUCACCUGGUACUGGAGUGGGUACCAACAGUAUCACAACCAGACAGACUGGAU